AUUUGAAGCCUGUCCAUGUUCGGCCCCCAAUGCCACCGUGUUAUCCUGGUCCCUAUGAUGAGAGGAUGUCUCCAAAUCAGUUCUACAGUGUCCUAAACUCUUCCCUCCUGGGUCACCCUUUUCCUCCUAGUGUUCCUCCUGUUCUCAGCCCCCUUCAGAGAGCACAGCUUCUUGAAGGAGCACAACAACAGCCUGGACAGAUGUCUCCCAGCCAGUUUGUAUGGGUCCCUGGAUUUGUAGUCCACUUGCUGCUAUGAAUCCCAAGUUGCUACAAGGGCAAGUUGGGCAGAUGCUUCCCCCAGCACCAGGCUUCCAUGCCUUUAGUGCUCCACCCUCUGCUACACCACCUCCACAGCCCAGGACCUCACUUGCAAAACCUAAGAUCUCAGGCACCAAUGUUUAGACUGGACACAACUCACCUCCAUCCACAGCACCACUGACUCUUGCAUCAGAGACAGCAACAGUAUAGAAAUCAGCAUCAGAAUCUCAAUGGUGCAGGGGAUAGAGGAAGUCACUGGAGCAGUCAUCACGAUCAUCUCUGAAAGGAUCCAUAUGCCAAUAUCAUGUUGCAGCAGGAAAAGGAUUGGGCCUCUAAAAUUCAGAUGAUGCAACUGCAAAGCACUGAUCCCUACCUGGAUGAUUUUUAUUACCAGAAUUACUUUGAAAAGCUGGAGAAACCAUCAGCUGCUGAAGAAAUACAAGGUGAUGGCCCUAAAAAGGAGUGCACCAAGGUUAUCACCCCUCAGGUGGCCAAACUGGAGCAUGCCUAUAAGCCAGUACAAUUUGAGGGCUCUUUGGGAAAGCUUACUGUUUCUAGUGUGAAUAAUCUCUGAAAAAUGAUUGAUGCUGUUGUAACAUCUUGGAAUGAGGAUGAUGAGAUAAAAGAAAAACAAGUAUGAAACAAGAGGAGAAAAACCCACCAUAAUUGAGAAAACUUACAGUUUGCUCCUUGAUGUGGAGGACUAUGAAAGACAUUAUCUCCUAAGUCUAGAAGAAUGACCUGCUCUAAUGGAUGAGCGAAAGUACAAAAUUUGUAGCAUGUAUGACAACUUAAGGGGGAAAUAGCCUGGACAAGAGCGGCCUAGUGAUGACCACUUUGUACAGAUCAUGUGUAUCCGAAAAGGGAAGACAAUGGUUGCCUGUAUUCUUCCUUUCCUCUCCACAGAGCAAGCAGCUGACAUUCUCAUGACAACAGCCAGGCAUGUCUCGAACUCCUAACCUCAGGUGAUCCAACUGCCUCAGCCUCCCAAAAUGUUGUUGGGAUUACAGGCAUGAGCCACCACGCCCAGCCUUGCUUUGAGCAUUUCCAUUCAACACUCUACAGAAUGCCCUAGCCUGUGAAGUAUGGCAAAUAAAUGAAAUAUAAAUUAGAAGGAACUGUCUUCACAGAUGUCCUGAUUGUGUUUAUAGAAAAUUCUAAGUAAUUUAUAAAAAAAUAAACCCUGCUAAAGCUAAGUGAAUUUAGCAAGUCUCAUAAAAUACAAUAUCAAGAUACAAAAAUGUAAAUACUUUAAGGACAAAUUGUUUCUAGGUGUUAAAGAACAGAUCAUUACAACUCUAAAGUCUUAUCAAUAAAAGAAAAAAACUAUAAUACUGCCUAAUUUGACUAUAGAUGGAAAAGUUCUAAUUAAAAUAUCACCAAAUGAACUCUAGUAGUAUGACAAAAAUUAUAGCAUAUUACAAGAAAUGUUUAAAAUUUAAGAAAGUCAUAAGUACAAAUCAAUACAUCAAUAAAUUUAAGGGGAAAAACAUAAAAUAGAUAACAAAAUAUCCUUAGACAAAAUUUAGCAGUUUUUAAAUUAACAAUCACUACAAAAGUAGGCAUCCUCCCUCUACCCCCACAUAUACUGAAGGAAAUUUAAAGUCAGCAGAGAAUUUAUCCCCAAAUGAAGAGUGAAUAUUAUAGUAAAUAAUUAAAUGUAGGUUCUGAGGAAACAUAAGACCAAAGAAAAAAAUGUUGGGAUAUAGUCCAUUAAAUUUGGAAAAACAGAUACCUGUUACCAUAAUAUUCAACUGUGUUCUGAAGAGUCUAGCUAUUGCAAUAAGAAAAUCAAAUAUAAAUACUGGAAAAUAAAAUUUUAGUUAUGUAAUCUGCAAAGAUUACAUAACUGAUAACCUAUGAAUCUUAAAAUGUCUCAUAAAAAUAGAAUGCAUGGUCAGACUAUAUGCAUGUAGGUAGAAAAUACUGCAUCAAUAUAGCAAAGUAUCCAGAAUGACAUUCAAGUCAAUUAGAGGGAAGGAAAAAAACAAGACAAAAAUAAUGGAGAAAGCCAAGAAUAUGAAAGUCAAAGUAAAGGAAUGAUGAUAGGCCAAGAAAUACAUUUCGAAAGUGGCUUAAGUCAAAAUUUAGGAAUACAUACAAAAACAUACCUAAACUGAAGCUACAGGGACACUGAGUUUACCAGUCCGCAGGAUCUAAAAGAACAAUUUGGAAAUAUCUAGUAGGGUAUAUAGAACCUAUGAUUGAUUUAGUAUUAUCUAACAUAACUGAAAGAGUGUAUCAUGUAUGAGCAAUUGUUCUUCCAUGUAUAUACAGCUACUGAAAUUCCAGUUCACAUAAACCAAUGAUCACAGACAAGGAUAUUUAUUGAAGUAUAUUUGAAAGAGUGAAAACCUGUUAAAACAUAAAUACUCACCAAUAAAAGUUUAAAUUCAUUAUCGUAUGUUCAAAUAAAAAAUUGAGCCAUCCUCAUUAGUAUAGUAGUGAAUAUAUAAAAACAAAACUGGGCCAGCAAUUUAUUGCAGAGGAAUAUGUGAGCAGCAGAGAAAUACACCAUUCAUUUCCUUUCCCAGCAUAGCUAAACAUCUGCCAUAAGAUCUGAAUAUUCUAUCUUUAGGGUCACUGUGUUUUGGUUAUGGCAUUUCCAGUGUGGGUUCACAUCCCAAAAUACUAGAUAUUCUGAAUGAGACUUCCUUAGUAAAGUUUAUCAUGCACUAAAGUUAAGCAAAUUUUCUUUAUUGUAAGACUCAAAUCUUUUGAUAGUCUGAUAAUAAGCAUUUUUUUAAAAAAGGGAUUUAGUAUUCAAAACUUCACAAGGCUGUGUGCCCACAAGCCAUUUCUCAAAUGCCAUUAAGUACUACUAAUCCCAGAAACGUUCUUUUAGAUAUGUUGUGUUAAGGCACUGGUACUUUGAAGGAACAAUCCACUAAUACAUUAACAAAAUUUUGCAUUAAUAUAUGUCUCAAAAUACUCUGCUUUUUGUUACAUCCAAUUAGCGUUAUUUGUAAAAAGAAUUUGCAAAUGUUGAGCAAUGAUAUAACUAGAUAGUAAAUGACUUGUACAAUGAUAUAUUAUGGCUGUCUUAUUGGCAUAAAAUGGACCUGGAGUUGCAAACCAUAAUGGAUCCAUGAGAUCACAGACAUUUUGGUUGACAAUGGACAUUAGUUUAAGUUGAGGAAAGUGGUAGUAUGGUAGUCUUAAAGAAAUGAGUUACAAUUUUUUUUAAGGAAGAAUUGAAUUUCAACUGUAUAUAUUCAUGCGAACCCCUACAUGCCAUUAAAUCUAUAUAUUUUGGUGCAGAUGGUUUUGUGUUCUUACCAGGAAGGCUUCUCACAAAACUGCUUGAUGACUGCCACCUGGUUGGAAGUAUUGUCAGACGCCAUAAAUUGUAAGAUACACCUUGAUUUCAAAUAUGUGAAAAAUCGUGCUCAGUGUUAAGCAUCGAGGAAAUUAUCAUAUCCAAUCUAGGCCAUACUUUGGCCAUUUAAAGCUAAGAAAAACUGAGAACAUGGAUCUUGAAGAUAUUUGGACUGGAUCAGCUCUUCCUUUCUCAUCAUUAAUUUGGAAAACUAGAACAGAUCUAUCCCUGGACAGUCCAAGUAAAGAAAUUGUUUUGCUUAAUUGCUUUACUAGGUUUUUGAAUGAAUGUGCUGAUGGUUUAGAAUUUCUGCUUUCUUCAUAAAGACUCACCUACAUUUUUGUCUUUUAAGAACUAUCCUCGUCUGUUGUAUUAUGAGGAUUAUAGUAUCAGUGUACAGAGCGCCAGUGAAAUUUUGAUAUUACCUCCUUGAAAUUUUUGGUAAAACAAAAAAUAUCUCCUCCAUCUGUACUUACAUCCAAUUCUCAUUCACAAUGCCGUAAUUAUCUUUUAUCUUUGAUCAGAUGUACUAAAAUCAAGAAUUAAUAUUUUUUCACAAAGCCUUAAUAAGUAUAUUUUAUUUUCAAAUUCAUUAACUCCUUUUAAUGAUCCUUUCUUCUUUCUUAUAUUGACUUAUUUUUCCUUUAGUUUCUUGAGUUUAAUGCUUCUUCAUUAUUUUAACAGUUUUAUAAGCGAUUACUAUGUUAAAGAGACAGUAUUAAGUCACUGGGAGUAGAGUGGUGAGCAGGAGAAACUAAGCACUGACCCUCAAUAUUUGUUUCCUGAAUACAUUAACAGGUUAUUGAUUUUUCACUGAGCACAGGUUUGACCACAUUCACAAAUUCUGAUCUCAUCAUUCAUUUCUAAAUUGUCCUUUAUGGUUUCAUUUUCUUUUUAAUCUAGUGUCAUUAUAUGAUUGGAGAUUUUAAAUUUCCGAAAUGCCAAAGUACUACUCUACAGAUCAUUUACUAAAUUAAAAGAACUACUUAGCUUUACAACAGAGAAACCUGGCGAUUACCAUAUGAAACAAAUAUUUCAGUUACCUAUUGCUGUGUAACAAAC
This is a non-coding RNA of Chlorocebus sabaeus (green monkey), 4640 nucleotides long. The record is from RefSeq and is a predicted model, not a curated record. NCBI's taxonomy places the organism in Eukaryota, Metazoa, Chordata, Mammalia, Primates, Cercopithecidae.